UCAGAGGUCCUCACUGUGCCUCAGUCUCCCCACCUGGGAGCAGGAAAUAAUCACUCCAGGACUGUCUAGGGGAUGAUUAAAAUGAGGGGGAAAGAAUUUUGCUAUAGUAAAACAGAUCAGUCGGGAGGCACCAUUUCACAGUGAUGAUCAUCCAGAGAGAAGACAAAAACAGAAGCCACCAGAGGCUAAGGCCUGUUUAGCAACAGCUCUGCCUGGAUAAAGGAGACACAAAACUUCCACUGACUACCCAAUGAAAGACAAGUAGCCUCUAGCAAUUAAGACAUUCCCAAGUCUCGUCUUCAACGUUGCAGAUCUGAAGCUUCUGAAUGGAGAUAAAUAACCAGGAGCCAGAGAAGGUCUCCUAAAGAGGAAGAAUUUAAGAGGCUUCUGCAAGGUGAACUACAAGGACUUGUUGGAAUUGAAUAAAAAAAUAGUUGAGCCUGCUUAAGGAACGAUCGAGCACUAUACAAAUUAAGCUCUUUUGGCUUGAGCUGUAAUUAUUAAAGCUUCAAUGUCCC
Long non-coding RNA from Talpa occidentalis (Iberian mole), 518 nucleotides. RefSeq lists it as uncharacterized. The transcript is spliced from 5 exons. Lineage: Eukaryota; Metazoa; Chordata; Mammalia; Eulipotyphla; Talpidae. The record is from RefSeq and is a predicted model, not a curated record.